AGUGAAAGAGGGAGGAACGCGUAACACAUGCCAGUCGAGCGGAUGAAGGGAGCUUGCUCCUGGAUUCAGCGGCGGACGGGUGAGUAAUGCCUAGGAAUCUGCCUGGUAGUGGGGGAUAACGUCCGGAAACGGGCGCUAAUACCGCAUACGUCCUGAGGGAGAAAGUGGGGGAUCUUCGGACCUCACGCUAUCAGAUGAGCCUAGGUCGGAUUAGCUAGUUGGUGGGGUAAAGGCCUACCAAGGCGACGAUCCGUAACUGGUCUGAGAGGAUGAUCAGUCACACUGGAACUGAGACACGGUCCAGACUCCUACGGGAGGCAGCAGUGGGGAAUAUUGGACAAUGGGCGAAAGCCUGAUCCAGCCAUGCCGCGUGUGUGAAGAAGGUCUUCGGAUUGUAAAGCACUUUAAGUUGGGAGGAAGGGCAGUAAGUUAAUACCUUGCUGUUUUGACGUUACCAACAGAAUAAGCACCGGCUAACUUCGUC
Molecule: ribosomal RNA, 484 nt
Filed under: uncultured bacterium
Lineage: Bacteria
Description: partial 16S ribosomal RNA
Rfam family: Bacterial small subunit ribosomal RNA
Source: RNAcentral